ACUCUCUUCAGUAGCACGUACACUAAAAUCGGAAUGAUACCGGGAAGAUGCGCGUGGCCCCUGUACACGCAUGACACGCAAAUUUGUCUAGUGUUUUAUAGCUUU
Small nuclear RNA from Grammomys surdaster, 105 nucleotides. The record is from RefSeq and is a predicted model, not a curated record. Lineage: Eukaryota; Metazoa; Chordata; Mammalia; Rodentia; Muridae.